CAGAGAGUGAAGUGCAUCUCUUUAGCUCAGCAAUCAUUGGACAGACCUGCUUGCUUAUGCACUUUCAGGGGACCAUGCCAGCUGUAGGAGUGCAGCAAGGUAAAAGUUCAUCCUGGGUGCUACCCUCCUUGACUAAUCCAUCUGCACUUCCUCCAGGCCCCUUGGACUUUUGAUUUCACAGUAAGAUCCCGAGGAGACAAAAAAUGAAGAGCAUGAUAAGAAAAUUGGACUCAUAAUAUGGCAACACUUCCUUUGAAGAACCCCACCCCCUUUCAGGUAGCGAUGCAAAGGUGGACGUUGGUGUCCCCUGAAAUGUGGUUAUGCUAAUCUGCUCUGGGCACUGGACUACAGGUCACAUGUCCAUCAAAAGGGCCCACCGAGCAACGCCUAGUGCCAGCAUCUUGGAUUUUGCAGUUUCCGAGAAGAAUCCACCACAGGGUAAGGAGAAAGAGAGGAAAAAAGGGGGCAAGUAGGAUGAACCAUGAAGUCAGUCACACUUGGUCUCAACUGGCUUCUGAUUACCCAGACGAAACCAAGAGAAGAAAG
Long non-coding RNA from Mastomys coucha (southern multimammate mouse), 546 nucleotides. RefSeq lists it as uncharacterized. The transcript has 4 exons. The record is from RefSeq and is a predicted model, not a curated record. NCBI's taxonomy places the organism in Eukaryota, Metazoa, Chordata, Mammalia, Rodentia, Muridae.